This 1218-nucleotide ribosomal RNA is filed under the name Escherichia coli. Its description in RNAcentral is "partial 23S ribosomal RNA". It matches the Rfam family "Bacterial large subunit ribosomal RNA", at positions 526 to 1746 of the family's 2925-position model. The record is from RNAcentral. Lineage: Bacteria; Pseudomonadati; Pseudomonadota; Gammaproteobacteria; Enterobacterales; Enterobacteriaceae.
CCGGCGAGGGGAGUGAAAAAGAACCUGAAACCGUGUACGUACAAGCAGUGGGAGCACGCUUCGGCGUGUGACUGCGUACCUUUUGUAUAAUGGGUCAGCGACUUAUAUUCUGUAGCAAGGUUAACCGAAUAGGGGAGCCGAAGGGAAACCGAGUCUUAACUGGGCGUUAAGUUGCAGGGUAUAGACCCGAAACCCGGUGAUCUAGCCAUGGGCAGGUUGAAGGUUGGGUAACACUAACUGGAGGACCGAACCGACUAAUGUUGAAAAAUUAGCGGAUGACUUGUGGCUGGGGGUGAAAGGCCAAUCAAACCGGGAGAUAGCUGGUUCUCCCCGAAAGCUAUUUAGGUAGCGCCUCGUGAAUUCAUCUCCGGGGGUAGAGCACUGUUUCGGCAAGGGGGUCAUCCCGACUUACCAACCCGAUGCAAACUGCGAAUACCGGAGAAUGUUAUCACGGGAGACACACGGCGGGUGCUAACGUCCGUCGUGAAGAGGGAAACAACCCAGACCGCCAGCUAAGGUCCCAAAGUCAUGGUUAAGUGGGAAACGAUGUGGGAAGGCCCAGACAGCCAGGAUGUUGGCUUAGAAGCAGCCAUCAUUUAAAGAAAGCGUAAUAGCUCACUGGUCGAGUCGGCCUGCGCGGAAGAUGUAACGGGGCUAAACCAUGCACCGAAGCUGCGGCAGCGACGCUUAUGCGUUGUUGGGUAGGGGAGCGUUCUGUAAGCCUGCGAAGGUGUACUGUGAGGUAUGCUGGAGGUAUCAGAAGUGCGAAUGCUGACAUAAGUAACGAUAAAGCGGGUGAAAAGCCCGCUCGCCGGAAGACCAAGGGUUCCUGUCCAACGUUAAUCGGGGCAGGGUGAGUCGACCCCUAAGGCGAGGCCGAAAGGCGUAGUCGAUGGGAAACAGGUUAAUAUUCCUGUACUUGGUGUUACUGCGAAGGGGGGACGGAGAAGGCUAUGUUGGCCGGGCGACGGUUGUCCCGGUUUAAGCGUGUAGGCUGGUUUUCCAGGCAAAUCCGGAAAAUCAAGGCUGAGGCGUGAUGACGAGGCACUACGGUGCUGAAGCAACAAAUGCCCUGCUUCCAGGAAAAGCCUCUAAGCAUCAGGUAACAUCAAAUCGUACCCCAAACCGACACAGGUGGUCAGGUAGAGAAUACCAAGGCGCUUGAGAGAACUCGGGUGAAGGAACUAGGCAAAAUGGUGCCGUAACUUCGGGAGAAGG